This is a long non-coding RNA of Daphnia pulex (common water flea), 359 nucleotides long. RefSeq lists it as uncharacterized. The transcript is spliced from 3 exons. The record is from RefSeq and is a predicted model, not a curated record. NCBI's taxonomy places the organism in Eukaryota, Metazoa, Arthropoda, Branchiopoda, Diplostraca, Daphniidae.
UUUAACUUGCGAGAAUGAAUGGAAACAAACUGUUGCCAGCAGUCUUUUCAUGUUUGGGAUGUUGAUUGGAGCAGUCACCAUUGGCUUUAUAGGAGACACUAUUGGGAGAAGGAAAACAUUCACUUUGAACAUAUUUAUCCUGGCGCUAAUCACAACUGCAACGGCAUUUUCACCCGACUGGAUCACUUUCUGUGUGAUGAGAUUCUUUUCCGGAAUCGGUGCGUGUGGCCACUUCCUCAUCAUCUUCGUCUGGGGAGUUGAAGCGGUCGGGAAACGGUACAGGAUCGCUUGCGGAUUCAUCUACCAAAUAGUUUACGCAACAGGAUCUGCCUGUCUGGGACUAGUGGCCUAUUUUGUGC